GACGAACGCUGGCGGCGUGCUUAACACAUGCAAGUCGAACGGAAAGGCCCUGCUUUUGUGGGGUGCUCGAGUGGCGAACGGGUGAGUAACACGUGAGUAACCUGCCCUUGACUUUGGGAUAACUUCAGGAAACUGGGGCUAAUACCGGAUAGGAGCUCCUGCUGCAUGGUGGGGGUUGGAAAGGUUCGGCGGUUGGGGAUGGACUCGCGGCUUAUCAGCUUGUUGGUGGGGUAGUGGCUUACCAAGGCUUUGACGGGUAGCCGGCCUGAGAGGGUUACCGGCCACAUUGGGACUGAGAUACGGCCCAGACUCCUACGGGAGGCAGCAGUGGGGAAUAUUGCACAAUGGGCGGAAGCCUGAUGCAGCAACGCCGCGUGCGGGAUGACGGCCUUCGGGUUGUAAACCGCUUUCGCCUGUGACGAAGCGUGAGUGACGGUAAUGGGUAAAGAAGCACCGGCUAACUACGUG
RNAcentral lists this ribosomal RNA (468 nucleotides) under uncultured bacterium. RNAcentral's name for it is "partial 16S ribosomal RNA". It matches the Rfam family "Bacterial small subunit ribosomal RNA", at positions 28 to 507 of the family's 1533-position model. The record is from RNAcentral.